UUCUAUAAAAUUAUAGAACAUUUUAUGCUAAAACUAGUAACAAGAGCUUACCCCUCUCUACAAUGCAAGUAUAAGCCAGCAAGAACUCAUCACUGGCAAAUAGCAGGCCUAAAUUCAAGUAGCAAAACCCCCCCCCCCCAAAACACUACCUCACCUUAACUGUUAACCUAACACUAGAGCAUUCCAAGAAAGAUUAAAAGGGGGAGAAGGAAUUCCGCAAAUAUUAGUUCCGCCUGUUUACCAAAAACAUCGCCUCUUGUGAAUCAAUAAGAGGUCUAGCCUGCCCAGUGACUCUGUUCAACGGCCGCGGUAUCCUAACCGUGCAAAGGUAGCGUAAUCACUUGUCCCCUAAAUAGAGACUAGUAUGAAAGGCAUCACGAGAACUAAACUGUCUCCUCCCCCUAAUCAGUGAACCUAAUAACCCCGUGAAGAAGCGGGGAUCUCAAUAUAAGACGAGAAGACCCUAUGGAGCUUAAAACACUACAUCACCUGCCACCCACUUAUCCACCCUGGCACACUGAUUAUAUGUUUUUGGUUGGGGUGACCGCGGAGAAAAACCUAUCCCCCGCGAUAAAGGAAUCCUCCACAAACAGUAAGUCACAACUUCAUGUAUCAGAAAACUGACAUUAUUGACCCAAUAUAUUUGAUCAACGAACCAAGUUACCCUAGGGAUAACAGCGCAAUCCACUUCGAGAGCUCCUAUCGAC
RNAcentral lists this ribosomal RNA (707 nucleotides) under Pristimantis sp. MZUTI 3764. Its description in RNAcentral is "partial large subunit ribosomal RNA". It matches the Rfam family "Bacterial large subunit ribosomal RNA", at positions 1239 to 2509 of the family's 2925-position model. The record is from RNAcentral. Lineage: Eukaryota; Metazoa; Chordata; Amphibia; Anura; Strabomantidae.